GGGAGCAUAGCUCAGUGGUAGAGUGUGUGCUUAGCACCUACAAGGUCCUGAGUUCAAAUCCCAGCUCCUCCA
This 72-nucleotide transfer RNA is filed under the name Camelus bactrianus (Bactrian camel). It matches the Rfam family "tRNA". Rfam says of the family: Transfer RNA (tRNA) molecules are approximately 80 nucleotides in length. Their secondary structure includes four short double-helical elements and three loops (D, anti-codon, and T loops). RNAcentral also lists the same sequence under 2 other names. Lineage: Eukaryota; Metazoa; Chordata; Mammalia; Artiodactyla; Camelidae. The record is from Rfam by way of RNAcentral.